GCGGUUAUACAAUUUACUUUAGUUAUUUUUUUUAAAAAGCAUUUAAUUUUAUUUUUUUGGGGAAUAUUUUAUAAUUUAUUAGGUGAAAUUUUUAUUUAUUUUUAAUUUCUGGGUUAAAUAUUUAAAUGUGAAAUUUUUUAAUUAAACUAGGAUUAGAUACCCUAUUAUUUUAAAAUGUAAAAUUAUUUUUUUGGUAUUAAUAGUUAUUAUCUUUAAAUUAAAAGAAUUUGGCGGUAAUUUAAUCUUUUUAGAGGAAUCUGUUCUGUAAUUGAUAAUCCACGUUGGGUUUAACUUUAUUUUUGUUUGUAUAUCUCUGUUAUUAGAAUGUUUUAUAAGAAUUAUUUUCUUAAAUUAUUAUUUAAAUAAGUUCAGGUCAAGGUGCAGCUAUUUUAAAGGUUGAAAUGGAUUACAUUUAAUGUAUUUUAUUGGAUCAUAUAAUUAAAUUAUGAAUGUGAAAAAGGAUUUAAUAGUAAAUUUUAGUAUCUACUUUUUUUGACUUAAGCUCUAAAUUAUGUACAUAUCGCCCGUCACUCUCAUAAAAGUGAGAUAAGUCGUAACAAAGUAAUCCUAUUGGAAAAUGGGGUUAGAUGUU
RNAcentral lists this ribosomal RNA (592 nucleotides) under Myrmoplasta mira. Its description in RNAcentral is "partial 12S ribosomal RNA". The record is from RNAcentral. Lineage: Eukaryota; Metazoa; Arthropoda; Insecta; Hemiptera; Pyrrhocoridae.